RNAcentral lists this ribosomal RNA (356 nucleotides) under uncultured Diversispora. RNAcentral's name for it is "SSU rRNA". It matches the Rfam family "Eukaryotic small subunit ribosomal RNA", at positions 569 to 928 of the family's 1831-position model. Lineage: Eukaryota; Fungi; Glomeromycota; Glomeromycetes; Diversisporales; Diversisporaceae. The record is from RNAcentral.
AGCAGCCGCGGUAAUUCCAGCUCCAAUAGCGUAUAUUAAAGUUGUUGCAGUUAAAAAGCUCGUAGUUGAACUUCGGGGUUUACCCAUUGGUCAGGCUUAAUUGUCUGCACUGGUGAGAUGAAUCUCUACCUUCUGAGGAACUUUCAUGCCAUUUAUUUGGUGUGAUGGGAAAUCAGGACUGUUACUUUGAAAAAAUUGAGUGUUUAAAGCAGGCUAACGUCUGAAUACAUUAGCAUGGAAUAAUGAAAUAGGACGGACUGAUUCUAUUUCGUUGGUUUCUAGGAUCACCGUAAUGAUUAAUAGGGAUAGUUGGGGGCAUUAGUAUUCAAUUGUCAGAGGUGAAAUUCUUGGAUUUA